UUGAAGCUUAUUCUUCCCCAGUUGAGUGUGAGUUUGUAGUUCCCUAGUGAAGUCACCAAUCCCCUAUUUGGUUCAGGUAUUCCAGCCUUUGUUCUGAUUUACCUGUUUCCCCUACAAAUUUCCCUUAUCCCCAAUCGAGUCUUUCCAUUUAUUUAUUUUCAUGGAAAUUUAUCCUCGUGUCUCUAGUAGUUUUUAAGUCAUAGCCUGGCCUAUGCAGAGAAGUUUAUCCCCAGAGUCUCU
Molecule: long non-coding RNA, 240 nt
Filed under: Lathyrus oleraceus (garden pea)
Lineage: Eukaryota; Viridiplantae; Streptophyta; Magnoliopsida; Fabales; Fabaceae
Description: Pisum sativum (pea) long non-coding RNA (PSAT_LNC006802)
Source: RNAcentral